RNAcentral lists this ribosomal RNA (262 nucleotides) under uncultured bacterium. RNAcentral's name for it is "partial 16S ribosomal RNA". It matches the Rfam family "Bacterial small subunit ribosomal RNA", at positions 28 to 278 of the family's 1533-position model. The record is from RNAcentral.
GACGAACGCUGGCGGCGCGCCUAACACAUGCAAGUCGAGCGAUAACCAGUCCUCGGUACGUGGGACAGCGGCGAACGGGUGAGUAACACGUGGGUAAUCUACCCUCGGUUUCGGGAUAGCCCGGGGAAACCCGGGAUUAAUACCGAAUAGGGCCUCUCAGGCUCUCGGGCUUGAGAGAAAAGGUAGCUUCGGCCUCUAGACCGAGGAUGAGCCCGCGGGCCGAUUAGCUAGUUGGUGGGGUAAUGGCCCACCAAGGGCGACG